Molecule: ribosomal RNA, 200 nt
Filed under: uncultured eukaryote
Lineage: Eukaryota
Description: partial 18S ribosomal RNA
Rfam family: Eukaryotic small subunit ribosomal RNA
Source: RNAcentral
GCUCCAAUAGCGUAUAUUAAAGUUGUUGCGGUUAAAAAGCUCGUAGUUGGAUUUCUGUUGAGGUCGGGCGGUGUACACCUCGUGUAUUAUUUGCUUCGGUUUCGGCAUCCUCUUGGGGAACGUCAGGACUUAUUGGACUGGGCGAGAUUCAAGACUUUUACUUUGAGGAAUUAGAGUGUUCACGGCAGGCAAGUGCUUUG